RNAcentral lists this ribosomal RNA (526 nucleotides) under Sarcocystis rileyi. RNAcentral describes it as "SSU rRNA". It matches the Rfam family "Eukaryotic small subunit ribosomal RNA", at positions 1 to 524 of the family's 1831-position model. Lineage: Eukaryota; Apicomplexa; Conoidasida; Eucoccidiorida; Sarcocystidae. The record is from RNAcentral.
UCUGGUUGAUCCUGCCAGUAGUCAUAUGCUUGUCUUAAAGAUUAAGCCAUGCAUGUCUAAGUAUAAGCUUUUAUACGGCGAAACUGCGAAUGGCUCAUUAAAACAGUUAUAGUUUAUUUGAUGGUCUUUACUACAUGGAUAACCGUGGUAAUUCUAUGGCUAAUACAUGCGCACAUACCUCUUCCCUCGUGGAAGGGUAGUGUUUAUUAGAUACAGAACCAACCCACCUUCGGGUGGUCCUCAGGUGAUUCAUAGUAACCGAACGGAUCGCAUUAUGACCUUCGGGUCGGCGAUGGAUCAUUCAAGUUUCUGACCUAUCAGCUUUCGACGGUACUGUAUUGGACUACCGUGGCAGUGACGGGUAACGGGGAAUUAGGGUUCGAUUCCGGAGAGGGAGCCUGAGAAACGGCUACCACAUCUAAGGAAGGCAGCAGGCGCGCAAAUUACCCAAUCCUGACUCAGGGAGGUAGUGACAAGAAAUAACAACGCUGGAAAUUCUAUUUCUAGUGAUUGGAAUGAUGGGAAA